AGGGGUUUGAUCAUGGGGCUCAGGAUGAACGCUAGCGGCAGGCCUAAUACAUGCAAGUCGAACGGUAAUCCCGAUAUUUCGGUAUCGGGAACGAGUGGCGCACGGGUGCGUAACGCGUAUGCAACCUACCCUAUACAGGGGGAUAGCCCGGAGAAAUUUGGAUUAAUACCCCAUAGUACUAUUGAGAGGCAUCUUUAAAUAGUUAAAGAUUUAUUGGUAAAGGAUGGGCAUGCGUAAGAUUAGCUAGUUGGUGAGGUAAGGGCUCACCAAGGCGACGAUCUUUAGGGGUUCUGAGAGGAUGAUCCCCCACACUGGCACUGAGAUACGGGCCAGACUCCUACGGGAGGCAGCAGUAGGGAAUAUUGGUCAAUGGGCGAGAGCCUGAACCAGCCAUGCCGCGUGCAGGAAGACGGCCUUCUGGGUUGUAAACUGCUUUUAUAUGGGAAGAAAAGGCCCCUGCGGGGGACAUUGCCUGUACCAUAUGAAUAAGCACCGGCUAACUCCGUGCCAGCAGCCGCGGUAAUACGGAGGGUGCAAGCGUUGUCCGGAUUUAUUGGGUUUAAAGGGUACGUAGGCGGCCGAUUAAGUCAGUGGUGAAAACCUGCAGCUCAACUGUAGAGGUGCCAUUGAAACUGUUUGGCUUGAGUUCUGUUAAGGUAGGCGGAAUUGAUGGUGUAGCGGUGAAAUGCAUAGAUACCAUCAGGAACACCGAUUGCGAAGGCAGCUUACUGGGCAUGAACUGACGCUAAUGUACGAAAGCGUGGGGAGCGAACGGGGAUUAGAUACCCUGGUAG
RNAcentral lists this ribosomal RNA (794 nucleotides) under uncultured Bacteroidota bacterium. RNAcentral's name for it is "bacterial SSU rRNA". It matches the Rfam family "Bacterial small subunit ribosomal RNA", at positions 1 to 793 of the family's 1533-position model. The record is from RNAcentral. Lineage: Bacteria; Pseudomonadati; Bacteroidota.